Molecule: small nuclear RNA, 334 nt
Filed under: Castor canadensis (American beaver)
Lineage: Eukaryota; Metazoa; Chordata; Mammalia; Rodentia; Castoridae
Description: 7SK RNA (ENSCCNG00000008388.1)
Rfam family: 7SK RNA (bases 1-292)
About the family: 7SK was discovered as an abundant small nuclear RNA in the mid-70s but a possible function has only recently been suggested. Two independent studies have found that 7SK RNA binds the CDK9/cyclin T complex (known as elongation factor P-TEFb). P-TEFb activates transcription by phosphorylating the C-terminal domain of RNA polymerase II.
Source: RNAcentral
CAAUGUGAGGGUAAUCUGGCUGCAACUUUUGUCAUCCCAUAGAUCACUGGGAUUGAUCCAGUUGACCUGAUUGGCUAUACAGGUGUUCCCUUCCUCCCUCACAGCUCCAUGUGUGUUCUGAAGCUUUGUGCUCCAUUCAAGAGGACGACCUUCCCAAUAGAGGAGGACGUUCUUCCAUCGAGAGUACACAGGUAACUGUGACCCCAGCCAGAACCUCCACCAGGCUCUCAAAUAUUGCUUCUAGAACUGGUUCCUGGGGAACUGGACAGAUAUUUAACGGCCAGAAAAGGUUAUCCAGGGGCACAGUAAGCAUGACUGCUGUGUUAAGUCACCU